CGCGCCACUGCACUCCAGCCUGGGCAACAGAAGCAAAACUCCGUCUCAAAAAAAAAAAAAAAAAAAAAGUUUAUGAACCACUAGUUUAGACAAAGAAUAGUUGUACAGUUGUACAGAUGGAUAAGGAAGGAAAGAACAUUCCAGGCAAAGAGAAAAGGUUAUGCAAUGGCUGAAAUGUUUAACAAGGUAUUUGGAGACCUUGAGAUAGUUUGAAAUUAUGUAAUGUCUAAGAUGUGGGCCAAGAGAAAAUAAAGGAAAAUAUCACAGGAUAAUAGAGGAGUAAAGUAAACUAUGCUGUAUUAACUCCAUAUUAGGCAGCCAGUAAAAAUAAAUACAACCACCAAAAGUAACUCAGAAAUAUGUUUAGGAAACAAUACUAAUUGAAAAAUAUAGAACUUCAGGUUGUAUAUCUACCAUAUUUCCAAUCUGUAAAAUAUAAGUACAUUUGGAUCAAGAUUGGAAAGGAAGACAAAUUAGAAUAACUCGUCAAUAACAUAUUUAAAUAUAAAUGAAAAUAUUUAAAUGUCUUUGCUUAGUAUUUUUAUAAUAAAUUUCUAUUUUUUUACUUUUAUUUAUCUUUUAAUCUCACUGUUAUCCAGGAUGGAGUGCAGUAGCACAGUCAUAGCUCACUAUGGCCUUGAACUUCUGGGCUCAAGCAGUCCUCCCACCUCAGCCUCCUAAGUAGCUGGGAUUACAGGUGUAAGCCACUGUACCCCACCUCUGUGUUUGAUUUUAAGGGGAAUUGGCCCAAAAAAUAACAUUUAUAUUAUUUCUUCACUAUGAUUCACAUGUCCCUCAGAAGCCUCUAAUUACAAUGGAAUUCUUAAAAAAAAUUCACAUUUCUCAGCAAAGCUUUCCAACGAAAAUUUUUAUGAUAAUCCUUUGUCAUAUAAGUUAAAAUAGUAAAACUAGACAAUAGUGAGUAAGUAUUAUAUUUGAGACACCUGCUAGGCAUCUGAUAUAAGGUGGAUGAGAGGAUCAGUGUCCUUUGGGAGUUUACCCUCUAGGGAAGCAACUACAUGAAAAGUUAAAUAAAUUAUAAAAAUCACAUUUUGAAUUGAUAAAAGUUAUGAGACAGAACAUAAUUUGGUUUUUAUUUAUUUUUUUGAGACAGGGUCUCACUUUGUCCUCCAGGCUGGAGUGCUGCGGCCUCAACCUCCCAGGUUCAAGGGAUCCUGCUGCCUCAGCCCCCCAAGUAGCUAGGACUACAAGGGUGCACCACCACACCCAGCUAAUUUUUGUAUUUUUUGUAUAAAUGGGGUUUCGCCAUGUUGCCCAGACUGGUCUCAAACUCCUGGGCUCAAAAUCUGCGUGCCAUGGCUUCUCAAAACGCUAGGAUUACUGGCGUGAGUCACCAUGCCUGGCCUAUAAUUUGUUAAUAUGGUUGUUACUACAAAGUUUAAAAUAAAUUGCCCAUGCAUUCCUAUUUAUAAUAGGUGAGUGGAGGACACUUCAAUCUAAAGUGAUCUUAAAGGAGGAGUAGUAGGAUUUGAAGAUGAAGAAAGAAGAGGGGAGGUUAAAAAAUGGAGGCAACAGCUGGGUACAGUGGCUCACUCCUGUAAUUCCAGCACUUUAGGAGGCCAAGGUAGGCAGAUCACUUGAGAAAAAGAGUUCGAGACCAGCCUGGGCAACAUAGUGAGACCCUCUCUCUCAAAAAAAAUAGCCAAGUGUGAUGAUGGACACCUGUAACCCCAACUACUUCAGAGACUGAGGCAGGAGGAUCACUUGAGCCUAGGAGGUCAAGGCUGCAGUGAGCUGUGAUUGGGCCACUGCACUCCAGCCUGGGUGACACAGAGAGACCUCUCUAAAAAAUAAAAAAAUAAAAAAAAUGGAAGCACAGAAAACUAUACCUUUUCUAGCUCAACUUUACCACAUUGAUGAAAAAGUAUUGAGCAGCCACAGGUACAUGACAUUCCACUAUGUUCUUGGGAUAAUAUUAAAGAAAAGGCAUGAAGGUAUGCUCUGAGCAGGCAAGAGAAGUCACAUAAAAUGAGAGUAAUUUAUAAUGUGAUUUUUUCCCAUGGUCCUUCUUUUUCUCAUUUAACUGUUUACUCCUUUAUAUGUUAUAGCAAUUGUUGUUUAAUAAUUGCAUUAAAAUAAAUAGAUGCCUUGGACACUGAUACUCUUGGA
Molecule: long non-coding RNA, 2130 nt
Filed under: Homo sapiens (human)
Lineage: Eukaryota; Metazoa; Chordata; Mammalia; Primates; Hominidae
Description: HSALNT0314129
Source: RNAcentral